This 424-nucleotide ribosomal RNA is filed under the name uncultured prokaryote. RNAcentral's name for it is "bacterial SSU rRNA". It matches the Rfam family "Bacterial small subunit ribosomal RNA", at positions 355 to 796 of the family's 1533-position model. The record is from RNAcentral.
UGGGGAAUCUUGGACAAUGGGCGCAAGCCUGACCGAGCCAUGCCGCGUGAACGAUGAAGGCCUUAGGGUUGUAAAGUUCUUUCGCCUGGGAAGAUAAUGACGGUACCAGGUAAAGAAACCCCGGCUAACUCCGUGCCAGCAGCCGCAGUAAUACGGAGGGGGUUAGCGUUGUUCGGAAUUACUGGGCGUAAAGCGCGCGUAGGCGGAUCGGAAAGUUGGGGGUGAAAUCCCAGGGCUCAACCCUGGAACUGCCCUCAAAACUGUCGGUCUGGAGGUCGAGAGAGGUGAGUGGAAUUCCGAGUGUAGAGGUGAAAUUCGUAGAUAUUCGGAGGAACACCAGUGGCGAAGGCGGCUCACUGGCUCGAUACUGACGCUGAGGUGCGAAAGCGUGGGGAGCAAACAGGAUUAGAUACCCCGGUAGUCC